Mya arenaria is the source of this 2169-nucleotide long non-coding RNA. RefSeq lists it as uncharacterized. The transcript is spliced from 10 exons. NCBI's taxonomy places the organism in Eukaryota, Metazoa, Mollusca, Bivalvia, Myida, Myidae. The record is from RefSeq and is a predicted model, not a curated record.
CACGAGCUUAUGACUACCAUAAAGAUAAUGAAGGACAUAGCGCUGACGAACCAGGUGCCGAUGUUGAAGCAGUCCUUGGAGGUGUUUGUGUUCCGGCAGGAAAGCUGUGCUCACUCGUAACAAGUGUCUGGAGGCCUUCUGAAUGGGAAACCUUAAAAACAGGGACCUUCAUGGAUUUUUUCAGAAAAAUGUCAGAGGCUAAUAUCUGAUUUAAAAAUGGUCACUAGGGAAGUACAAUGUAGCCAGUGAGGUUCCAUCUAUGAAUCUAAGCGCUUAAAGCGUUGAAUGGCCUGCAACGUUUUGCCCUGAUAUCGGAGAAUGAUGGUGUCCUAGAUGGACCAGGCAGUCGGAGCCCGGAGGCCUUGGUGACCGGAUCUUGUUUCAAGCUGCUUUUGCAGACACAUCAUUUGCAACCACGGACUGGUUUCCGGUUGACGGAGAACGGAAGACUUAAAGGAGGCCCUGGGAGUGCUAGUUAAGAGGAUCAGACUGGGAGGCCCCUCUUAGAUGUUCUUCAAAGCUGUCAUCAAGGUUGGCAAUGCAGUAUGUGGCCACCUUUGCCAGCACAGCCCCUGAUCUGCAAACUGCCGUCAACCUUCUGAAACUGCUUACAGCACUUGUGGAGAAAACUGAUGACAAGUGCUCCCGACGGAAGAGUUUCUGAAGCGAGAGUGGAAGGACUUUAAUGGGGGAGAGCCAAAGUUCAAUGAGUAGCUACAGUUCCUUAUCAAACGUUUGAUGGCAGAGGAAACCAUGGCUCUUGCAUCAAGUAUGGGCAUCAGUUUGUGGAACUUUCCUUGCGAAACAGUAUGCCGCUACUUGAUCACAUGUUCUGGGCACACAUGCAUGACAUCCACUGGCUCCUGAAGAACCUCCAACAGAGCAUGUGGGCUCUACAUCAUCUGUGUGGACACUCCAAGGUUCUUCUAUAAAGAAUGUAGCUGUCAACCGUGCUGUUGAUCAAGGAUAGCACUGUCAUUUUAGAGAAUCUUCACAAGGUCACGUGAUAAUUCCCACUACACAACCAUCAAGGAAGACUUCCCCCAUCCUCUAACAUGGAGGUUUUACACAGUACCAGCUCUGGCAAGCAACAUAACAGGAGUGGAAUUGAAAGAUUGGAUAUUCAUUAUAUUUGGCGUGCCGUCCUUGCUGUUGACUGUCUCCCACCUGCAUUGAGCAUCUACCUGCUUUGAGCAUCAACCUGCUAUGAACAUCCACCUGUUUUGAGCAUCAACUUGCUUUGAGCAUCAACAUGCUUAGAGCAUCCACCUGCUUUGAACAUUAACCUGCUUUGAGCAUCAACCUGCUUUGAACAUCAACCACAAGCAGUGUUUAUACAAUGUAUUUCGUAAUGAUUGUUAUGUUGAAUAAAAUGAAACGCUGGGAGAUAUAGUGCUUGGACCAAUCCAUAUGACAGGCCAUUGAUACAUCAUUAAGUGGGGUAGUUGUUCAAAACAUUCACACCGAAUCAAUGCGUAUGUUUUAUCUGCUUGUGCUCAGGGUGAACUAUAUUGUUGUAGCUGGGUUGUUGUUAGAACACUACCUGUUAAAAGGUGUCUGAGAAUGAUUGUCUGGAUAAAAUUUGGCUCAAAAACUAGGCCACAUGGUCUCUCAUGAAAACCCAUGUAAAACAAUAUAGACUUCAUACCUUUCAACACUUUUAAAAUUAAUGUAUUGAAUUUUUUAAAAAUUCAAAUAUGAGUUUUAAGGCUAUUUUAGUCGUAUUUACACAAAAGAGAUAAUAAGUAUUUCACUUUGUCAAAUGUGAAAAAGCUACAAGCUGUAUUUUUCCUUGGAUUCACAUAAAACUUAGUCAGGAUGUUUAUAUAUUUAACCUUGAACCUGGACGUUUUGAUAAACAACUGUUAGAUUUUUAAACAAAAAGUUAUAGACUAGUAAACUUUUCAUGAAAAAAAAGUUUCUUUUGGGAGAAAGAAAAUGAGGUAUCCAUCAAUGUCUUACAGUACAUGCUACCUUUUCUUCUAAAAAGUAAUGUAGGGUACCAGUCUAUUCCGAACGUCUCAUUUGUUUUCGGUCAAGCAGUUUAUAAACGGUUGGGCCUUCAGUUUCCGCACAAUUUGAUUAAAAUGUGUACUUAUUUUGGAAUCACGGCUACAUAGAUUUGACUUGUACGUAUACUUUAAGUAAACCCUUAUGAUCAUCAAACAA